Molecule: ribosomal RNA, 465 nt
Filed under: Vreelandella stevensii
Lineage: Bacteria; Pseudomonadati; Pseudomonadota; Gammaproteobacteria; Oceanospirillales; Halomonadaceae
Description: partial 16S ribosomal RNA
Rfam family: Bacterial small subunit ribosomal RNA
Source: RNAcentral
CCUACGGGCGGCUGCAGUGGGGAAUAUUGGACAAUGGGGGCAACCCUGAUCCAGCCAUGCCGCGUGUGUGAAGAAGGCCCUCGGGUUGUAAAGCACUUUCAGUGAGGAAGAACGCCUGGUGGUUAAUACCCAUCAGGAAAGACAUCACUCACAGAAGAAGCACCGGCUAACUCCGUGCCAGCAGCCGCGGUAAUACGGAGGGUGCGAGCGUUAAUCGGAAUUACUGGGCGUAAAGCGCGCGUAGGUGGCUUGAUAAGCCGGUUGUGAAAGCCCCGGGCUCAACCUGGGAACGGCAUCCGGAACUGUCAAGCUAGAGUGCAGGAGAGGAAGGUAGAAUUCCCGGUGUAGCGGUGAAAUGCGUAGAGAUCGGGAGGAAUACCAGUGGCGAAGGCGGCCUUCUGGACUGACACUGACACUGAGGUGCGAAAGCGUGGGUAGCAAACAGGAGUAGAUACCCUUGUAGUC